AGCUCCAAUAGCGUAUAUUAAAGUUGUUGCAGUUAAAAAGCUCGUAGUUGGAUUUCUGGACGGGGGGCUCUACUCGCAUCGUGCGAGGCCAGAGUCGCUCGGCCAUCCUUCUGUUAACCCGUCUCGGUAUUCACUUAUCGGGCGGGGGCUCAGAUAGAUUACCUUGAGAAAAUUAGAGUGUUUCAGGCAGGCUUGCGCCCGAAUACAUUAGCAUGGAAUAAUAGAAUAGGACUUUGGCCUCUUCUGUUGGUCUGAGGGGUUAAAGUAAUGAUUAAUAGGGAUAGUUGGGGGCAUUAGUACUUAACUGUCAGAGGUGAAAUUCUCGGAUUUGUUAAAGACUGACUUAUGCGAAAGCAUUUGCCAAGGAUGUUUUCA
This 375-nucleotide ribosomal RNA is filed under the name uncultured eukaryote. RNAcentral's name for it is "SSU rRNA". It matches the Rfam family "Eukaryotic small subunit ribosomal RNA", at positions 587 to 972 of the family's 1831-position model. The record is from RNAcentral.